AUGGAAGAGGGUUAUUACAUAAGAUGGAUUCCUAAACAACACUCAAGCUUAUUGGACAAUGAAGGCGGGCACAACAACGAAGCUUGUUCUAGCAGAAAUAGAACAAGAUCAUCUUUCUAUUUCUCGUCAUUUCUGGAGGAGUAUGGAACAAAGGAUAUGUAUGAAACGUUCAAGAAUUAUGUAGAUAUUGAUGAAGUUUUCAUCCCUUUUAAAUGA
Non-coding RNA from Vicia faba (fava bean), 216 nucleotides. The record is from the annotation of a GenBank genome assembly. Lineage: Eukaryota; Viridiplantae; Streptophyta; Magnoliopsida; Fabales; Fabaceae.